CAAAAACAUAGCCUUUAGCAUAUUCAAAUAUUAAAGGUAACGCCUGCCCAGUGAUAUAUUAAACGGCCGCGGUAUCCUAACCGUGCAAAGGUAGCGUAAUCACUUGUCCUCUAAAUAAGGACUAGUAUGAAUGGCUAAAUGAGGAUUAACCUGUCUCCUUUAGACAACCAAUGAAACUGAUCUACCAGUACAAAAGCUGGUAUAAACCCAUAAGACGAGAAGACCCUGUGGAGCUUUAAAUUACCCGCCAAGUACAAAAUACAAUAAAACACUAAUGGCCAACAAUUUUAAGUUGGGGCGACUUCGGAGAAAAACAAAACCUCCGAGCAUAAAGAAUAUACCUCUAACUAAGGCUAACAAGCCAAAGCAAAAAUUGACCCAGUAAAACUGAUCACCGAACCAAGUUACCCCAGGGAUAACAGCGCAAUCUUCUUCAAGAGUCCAUAUCGACAAGAAGGUUUACGACCUCGAUGUUGGAUCAGGACACCCAAAUGGUGCAGCCGCUAUUAAAGGUUCGUUUGUUCAACGAUUAACAGUCCUACGUGAUCUGAGUU
This 554-nucleotide ribosomal RNA is filed under the name Dipsosaurus dorsalis. RNAcentral describes it as "partial 16S ribosomal RNA". It matches the Rfam family "Bacterial large subunit ribosomal RNA", at positions 1808 to 2611 of the family's 2925-position model. The record is from RNAcentral. Lineage: Eukaryota; Metazoa; Chordata; Lepidosauria; Squamata; Iguanidae.